GAAUCCCGUCUUUGGCAUGGAUGACCGGGGCUUUUGUGAUGCGCUCUCGAAGAGUCGAGUUGUUUGGGAAUGCAGCUCAAAAUGGGUGGUGAACUCCAUCUAAAGCUAAAUAUUGGCGAGAGACCGAUAGCGAACAAGUACCGUGAGGGAAAGAUGAAAAGCACUUUGGAAAGAGAGUGAAACAGUACGUGAAAUUGUUGAAAGGGAAACGCUUGAAGUCAGUCGCGUCGACCGAGACUCAGCCUUGCCUCGGCUCGGUGUACUUCUCGGCCGACGGGUCAGCAUCAAUUUUGCCCCUCGGAUAAUGGCGAGAGAAAGGUGGCACCCUCACGGGUGUGUUAUAGUCUCCCGUCGGAUGCGAGGGUUGGGAUUGAGGAACUCGGCACGUACCGUGCUUAGGAUGUUGGCAUAAUGGCUUUAAACGACCCGUCUUGAAACACGGACCAAGGAGUCUAACAUGCCCGCGAGUGUUCGGGUGGAAAACCCGUGCGCGUAAUGAAAGUAAAAGUUGGGACCCCUGUCGUGGGGGGCACCGACGCCCGGACCAGACCUUCUGUGACGGAUCUGCGGUAGAGCGUGCAUGUUGGGACCCGAAAGAUGGUGAACUAUGCCUGAAUAGGGUGAAGCCAGAGGAAACUCUGGUGGAGGCUCGUAGCGAUUCUGACGUGCAAAUCGAUCGUCAAAUUUGGGUAUAGGGGCGAAAGACUAAUCGAACCAUCUAGUAGCUGGUUCCUGCC
This 737-nucleotide ribosomal RNA is filed under the name uncultured Russula. RNAcentral's name for it is "partial 28S ribosomal RNA". It matches the Rfam family "Eukaryotic large subunit ribosomal RNA", at positions 216 to 962 of the family's 3401-position model. The record is from RNAcentral. Lineage: Eukaryota; Fungi; Basidiomycota; Agaricomycetes; Russulales; Russulaceae.